UACGUAGGGAGCAAGCGUUGUUCGGAAUCACUGGGUGUAAAGGGAGCGUAGGCGGAAAGGUCUGUUAGAAGUGAAAUACUUAGGCUUAACCUAAGAAACGCUUUUAAUACUGCCUUUCUUGAGUAGAGGAGAGGGAAACGGAAUUCCAGGUGUAGCGGUGGAAUGCGUAGAUAUCUGGAAGAACACCAGUUGCGUAGGCGGUUUCCUGGACUCAUACUGACGCUGAGGCUCGAAAGCUAGGGGAG
This 245-nucleotide ribosomal RNA is filed under the name uncultured bacterium. RNAcentral's name for it is "partial 16S ribosomal RNA". It matches the Rfam family "Bacterial small subunit ribosomal RNA", at positions 524 to 768 of the family's 1533-position model. The record is from RNAcentral.